Molecule: long non-coding RNA, 2144 nt
Organism: Equus asinus (donkey)
Lineage: Eukaryota; Metazoa; Chordata; Mammalia; Perissodactyla; Equidae
Source: Ensembl
CGGGGACCCAGAGGGGAGGCGGGUGCCCCUGCCCCCACGAGGGUCAGUGGUCAGGGGACUGUGGGCCUCCAGCUGCAGCCAAUGAGAGACAGACCACUGAAGGGCCCUGGGAGAGAACACAGCCCAGGGCAGGGGUCGGGGUGACAGGGACCCUGAGCACAGUGUGACUCAGGGGGGAAGAGCUGCCUGACCGUGUGACCCUGGGGGCCCUCCAAAGGGAUGCGCUCAGGGGUUACCAGGGGGCUGGAGGCGACCUCCUCAAGGUGUCCUGGCAUCUCUGAGACUCUCUGUCCUCGCUGUAGCUCUGUAAUGUCACGAAAAGCCGAAGGUGCAGAUACGAAAUGGCACCAACACUGAGUUUCUCCCAGAGGCAUUCAGGUAUUUAAAAAAUCCCACGGAACACAGCUUGCGGAAGGCAGAGAGUGAGGCUGAAGCACGAUGACCUAGAUCUGGAGGCGGCCCGCCAGACAGCGGAGGGAAGCUCCUGCCCCUCCCCCACGGCCACCUCUCUGCCAGCGAGGGCCGGGGCUUGGGGUUGCAAAGGCUGGCUCCACCUCUCCACUGCAUCCCAGCUCCCCGGCUGGCCAUGCGAGCAUCAGGCCAGAGAGAUCGGAAAACCCUCCCAGAAUCAACAGGACGCAGCGAGGGCUCUGGUGCCCACUGCCCAGCUGCGCAGGCCAAGGCCCUCCGUGGCCCUGGUACCUGCCCUGCUGGUGGCACCCUGCCUGGUGCAUGCUGGCCUUGGGGCCCGGGCACCAGCCGGGGAGGGCAGAGUGGGUUGGUGGCACAGGUGCACUGGCUGUCAUGCCCAGGUGAGAAGGCGGCGACCAGAGCCCUCAGAGCACACAUCCGUCAUCUGGUUUCCUGGGUCUCUGGCGACUGGUCAUACUUGGGUGAGGGCAAGGACUCAGGGUCUCAGUUCACUCCCCUUCAUCAUCUCCUUCCCACCCCUCUUUCUGGCUGCAGGUCGUCGGGGGUUCCUCUGCCUGCAGAGAAGAGCCAUCUGCAGAGCUCUGCCUGCCCGGCACAGGGCAGAGGUCUGGGGCCAGGAUCACGGUGGAUGCUUAGGAGGGAAGGAGGGCCUCUUCAACAUCACCAGUGGCUCCAAGCAGCCUGUGGGAGGCAUGGGCCCAGCUACCAAGCCUGAGCAGUUCUGGCCAGCAUCCCACCAGGGGUGGCUGAGCCGGGUCAGACCAAAGAAGCAUCACCAGAGUACAUUUGGGAGCUGGAACCGGGGACACGCAAGUGAGACCUCGCAAGAAAAAGGAAUCACUGGGUCUCAUUUCCCUCUCACAAACUCUUACCAGACUCAUUUUUGCAGCCACGACUCUUCACAACCACCCCCAGGUGCUGGUGUCUUCUGGGGCGUGUGCUGCCCCACGCUCUAGCCUCGUGAGCAGCCGUGCAUGGCCCCCGGGGCAAGAUGUACUGCCGGUGUGCUAGCCCUGUCCUCCCUCCAGGACUUCCCAGGCAGUUGCCAGCUGCAGGCAGAGGGCACAGAGUAGGUAGGACUGGUGCUUCUGGCCUGCAUGGCGGCCACCAGCCCUGUCCGGCUGCAACACACAGCAGCACAUGCAGGAGAAAGUGGUGGUCGCCACCCUCCUCUCCCAGGGUUCACACUGGGGGGUCAACAUGCCACAGGUCCCCAUGAGAUGCUGACCACAGGCCAGGAGAAAGGGGCUGGGCACAGAGGCCCAAGGGACCGCCUAGAGAAGGGCGGAGGGACCCCAGGCAGACGAUGGCCAAGUUGGGGCCCAGAAAAGCAGAGAAGCCUUUGGGCCUUGCUGCCGCAGUGGCCUUGAGGGCUCUGCCAGACCUCCUCCCCAGGCCUGGGUCCACGAUUCCGAUGAGAGACACCAGUGUAACCAGGAGUACAACCAGAACGCCUUUGCACCCUCCAGUGCCCUGUCCCGGGCCACUGUCCCCAGGCCCAGCUGUCCCGAGGUCAGGAGGUCAGGAGCAGGCCUGGCUCAGUCUCCCCAUCUGUGCCCAGGGGGACUGUUUGGCUGCAACUGGUCUUCGAGGUUAUUUUGAGCAUCAAAAAGAGCGACAGUCCCAAUUGUGACAACAUGGAUUUUCAAGGGAAGGAAGCAGCCCGGGCCUCCUGGAACCCCAGGGAGGAGACAGCUGUGACAAGGGGUGGG